AACGAACGCUGGCGGCAGGCCUAACACAUGCAAGUCGAACGCUGUAGCAAUACAGAGUGGCAGACGGGUGAGUAACGCGUGGGAACGUACCCUUCGGUCCGGAAUAACUCGGGGAAACUCGUGCUAAUACCGGAUACGUGCGCAGGCAGAAAGGUUUACUGCCGAAGGAUCGGCCCGCGUCUGAUUAGCUAGUUGGUGGGGUAACGGCUCACCAAGGCGACGAUCAGUAGCUGGUCUGAGAGGAUGAUCAGCCACAUUGGGACUGAGACACGGCCCA
RNAcentral lists this ribosomal RNA (277 nucleotides) under uncultured bacterium. Its description in RNAcentral is "partial 16S ribosomal RNA". It matches the Rfam family "Bacterial small subunit ribosomal RNA", at positions 29 to 333 of the family's 1533-position model. The record is from RNAcentral.